This is a long non-coding RNA of Vicia villosa (hairy vetch), 4202 nucleotides long. RefSeq lists it as uncharacterized. Lineage: Eukaryota; Viridiplantae; Streptophyta; Magnoliopsida; Fabales; Fabaceae. The transcript has 4 exons. The record is from RefSeq and is a predicted model, not a curated record.
UUAUUAUAAUGUUGUGAGUAGAGAGAAUUAAGGGUUGAGAUUUAACCCACAUGGAUUAUGCAUUUCAUCAAAUGGCCGUAAUUCAUUCACAUUCUCUAUUUAAGAAAACAACGCCCAACACCUCAAAUUGUCUUUCUCCUCUUCUCUGUUAACCGAACACUCCCUUCUCCACUCUUCAUGUUUUCUUCUUCUUGCAAUUUACAUAUAUACCUUGUGAGAUUUGAAUGAUCUUUGAGAGAGUUUUAGGAAAUCAAUUUAAGAGAGGAUUAAAGAAAAGAAUAAAGCUUGAGGUUGAAAGUGUGAACUGGAUAGUGACCUUGGCGAGAGAGACAUACCGUUCUCAUGUAGCGUAAGUUGAAUGUGUUUGAAGCUUGAUAAGGUUGUUAGCAAUUGGGGAUAGUUAAGGUAUCCUGGUGUCGUGAAGACUUGCAAGAUGUGAAUGUCUUUGGCUAGGAGUUCAAGAUCAGCUUAGGGUUAUGUUUCAGAGUGUUGUCCAGGUCUGUUAUUGGGGAGUUUGUUGAAGCUUAAUGCUUAAAUGUGUUAGUGGUAUUGACCUUUACUUGUUGUCAAAUACUCUGUACGCAAUUAUAUUCAAGUGGUCAAAUAUUUUAUGACCUUGGGCAUUGCGCUGGGCCUAUUUAUGGAAAAGACUUAGACCGAAAAGCUCGUACUCUGAUUUAUCAUUUUUAUUAUUCCUAAAAGGACAGUGGUCCAUAUUUUGUAAGGCAUUAAUUUUGAAAAAAAAAUACACUCUCGCUGUUAAAAAUCGGGGUGUUACACUUCGCGCGCUGUAGGGCGCGUCGCGCCUUCUUUGAGUUUGAAGAACAAAAGCUGGCAGAAGUUUGGGCGCGUCGCGCGGUUUUUAGGGCGCUUCGCGCGCUAAGGCUGUUUGGUAAAUUUAUACAGGGCGCGUCACACCGAAGUAGGGCGCGUCGCGCCCACUGCGAAACUCAGUUUUGUAUAAAUAGUUAAUAACAGAUUUUUUUAGGUUUUUUAUCACCUCUUCUUGACAAGUUGAGCUCUGAUCCUUUUUUGGUAGUUUAGAGGCUUAGGAAACACCAUUGGGUGCAACGUCAAGUGGAUUGAUCAUGGAUCUGACUCGAUUUCAUUGUACCGGUGAGAUCUUUCCGGUUCAUCUUCUCUCUUCCCUUUGUUUCAUUCCAAUGGUGGGUGUUGUAUGUAUAUUUCUACUCUUAUUGUAUGUACAUUUGUGGAUCUUGGGAUCGUUUAUAUAUUCGCUUUACAAAUCAUCAUUGUUGUUGUUCUUGAUCUUUUUGCUUAAAUGCUCUGGAUUUGUGUUGUUGCAGACAUGGACACCAUAGAUCUUGAUUAGGAAUGAUAAUUGUUAGUUUCUGGGUUGCAGACUUGGAUUUAGGACUAACAAUCGUAGUGGGUAUCGAGUUUAAUGCCUCCGUGUUGUUUGUGUCGGUGGAGAAAUCGCUGAUGUGAAUAGUACGGUUGAGCUUUCGUCGGUGUUGCAGACAUGGGCACCAAUGCGGCAUCUCGAGUGAUGCCCGGUGAUGUUGAUGCAUAUUGUGAGUGUAGAGCGAUAGAUCUUCAGAUUUAAGUAUUCGACGGGUAGAACGAAAUGCAAUUCCAUAACUCUUUCUCUUAGACUAUUGAGAUUGUUUAUCUGCUUUUAUUUACUUUUCCCGCAUUUACCUUUCCGCACCCAAUUCAUGAAACUUAGAACGCGAGAUAGUCGAACGGCAGUUCUUCUCACCAAUCUCUGUGGACACGAUAAUUCCCGGAUGAAUACUUCCAAAACUUUUGUUGCUUGCCGCUUUACCGCCUCAACAAAAUGGCGUCGUUGCCGGGGAUUGGUUGAGAUUAAUCGCAUUGCGAUGGUUUUAUGUUUUAAGUUUCGUAUAUAUGUCCAUAGCGUAUAUUUUGUGUAUAGACUCAUACUUGUAUUUUCUUGUAUAGUUAUACUUGUUUCGUUUUGUUUGGUAAACUGACUAAACAAGUUGAACUCGGAUUAGCUCUUAAAUUACAUAUCUUCACUUUUCAACUUGUUUAGUCAAUUUCACCAUUCAUUUGUAAUUUGGUGUUUUUACACAUACUUGUAUAUACUUUUGCUUUUAAUUCGUUUGUUAAGUGUUUGGGCAGGACGUUUUCUUUAGGUUGCGUUUGAGGCGAAAGCAUUGGCGUACCGCGAGGAAGUUUCUUACCAUUCGCGAAACAAUAAAGGCGUCGAGCUAACGACGUUAAACGAGCGCUUGUUGGGAGGCACCCCAACAGUUUUAUUUUUCUGUUUUUCUGUAAUUGAGUUGUGUAGGUGUUAAGUGGUGGCUCACUGGAAAAUCUGUCUUUUUAGACUGGUCUGGUUUUUCUGGUGUAGCGCGCGUCGCGCGCUCUUGGGUGUGUCGCGCGCUGGGUUGCUUUUGGCCAGUGACCUCUUUUUAACGGGUCAUUCGGCUCGCCUUUUUCCCACUUACACCAAGGCUUUAUAGUAUAGUAUUCUAUCGAUUUAUUUUUAAUGGUUUUGUUUGUGUUUAGACUCAAAUUUUGGCCCGAUUACUUGGAGUCGCAUUUGGUAAUUCUUCGAUUUUGAUUGAUUCAACAAGCCGGUUGUGCGGUAAUGAUUGAUCGACUUUGUACAUAACAAGGUAUUCUUGUGUUUUCGGAGCCUUGACGAAUAAAGUGUCGAAGACACGGCUGCGAGAGCAAAGAGGAAAUAAUUCUGCUGUUCUGGUGCAGGGCGCUUCGCGCGCUGUAGGGCGCGUCGCGCCUUCUUUGAGUUUGAAGAACAAAAGCUGGCAGAAGUUUGGGCGCGUCACGCGGUUUUUAGGGCGCUUCGCGCGCUAAGGCGGUUUGGUAAAUUUAUACAGGGCGCGUCGCACCGAAGUAGGGCGCGUCGCGCCCACUGCGAAACUCAGUUUUGUAUAAAUAGUUAAUAACAGAUUUUUUUAGGUUUUUUAUCACCUCUUCUUGACAAGUUGAGCUCUGAUCCUUUUUUGGUAGUUUAGAGGCUUAGGAAACACCAUUGGGUGCGACGUCAAGUGGAUUGAUCAUGGAUCUGACUCGAUUUCAUUGUACCGGUGAGAUCUUUCCGGUUCAUCUUCUCUCUUCCCUUUGUUUCAUUCCAAUGGUGGGUGUUGUAUGUAUAUUUCUACUCUUAUUGUAUGUACAUUUGUGGAUCUUGGGAUCGUUUAUAUAUUUGCUUUACAAAUCAUCAUUGUUGUUGUUCUUGAUCUUUUUGCUUAAAUGCUCUGGAUUUGUGUUGUUGCAGACAUGGACACCAUAGAUCUUGAUUAGGAAUGAUAACUGUUAGUUUCUGGGUUGCAGACUUGGAUUUAGGACUAACAAUCGUAGUGGGUAUCGAGUUUAAUGCCUCCGUGUUGUUUGUGUCGGUGGAGAAAUCGCUGAUGUGAAUAGUACGGUUGAGCUUUCGUCGGUGUUGCAUACAUGGGCACCAAUGCGGCAUCUCGAGUGAUGCCCGGUGAUGUUGACGCAUAUUGUGAGUGUAGAGCGAUAGAUCUUCAGAUUUAAGUAUUCGACGGGUAGAACGAAAUGCAAUUCCAUAACUCUUUCUCUUAGACUAUUGAGAUUGUUUAUCUGCUUUUAUUUACUUUUCCCGCAUUUACCUUUCCGCACCCAAUUCAUGAAACUUAGAACGCGAGAUAGUCGAACGGCAGUUCUUCUCACCAAUCUCUGUGGACACGAUAAUUCCCGGAUGAAUACUUCCAAAACUUUUGUUGCUUGCCGCUUUACCGCCUCAACAGGCAUGUCACCAAAUGAAUGUUGAUCCCGGAUCCAGGUACGUGUCGUAAAGAUGAAGGUGGCAGUCUCUCGAGAAGCCAAAGUUAAUAGAAAAGACGAUUCAAGGGCUACUAGAUGCUAAUUUCAUCUUUGAAGUGAAGUAUUCUUAGUGGUUAUCCAAUGUAGUCUUAGUCAAGAAAGCCUCGGGAAAAUUGAGAAUGUGUGUCGACUACACCGAUAUGAAGAAGGCAUGCCCCCAUUUGUUUGUGAAGUCUUAAGUCCAAUAAUGUUUUAGAGGGAGCAAGGAGGAAAGCCUUGAUCACGCUUUACUUAAUGCUCAUGUCGACUCAAUUACAAUGCAAGUUUGCCAAGCAUUAAAAAGGGGGAGAAUGAAGUUGUUAUGCCCUAUAGGGCUUUGGUUUUGUUGCUUGUCUCGUUUAUUAUUUAUCCUUUAUCACUUUUGUAAUUCAGUCUCCUCUAAGUUAGAUCUCUGCAAAUAU